AAUUGUGUAAAGUUGUUUUUAUUAUUAAAAUCGUUUAACGUGUAAUAAUGUUAAUACUAAUAACAUUAUUUAAGAGAUAACACAUAUUUCAUAGUAAAAAUUUGAUUUCUUCUAGUGAAACUGUAGGAAAGAUGUAGAAUUAUCUAUGAGGUUAUCUAGAAGGAGCCAAAGGAUAUUAAUAAAGGAAAAGCAACAAGAAACGUGGUGAAAAGGACCUCUUUCUAGAAACUUUGAAGCUGUGCAUUGAAUAAUACCUAAAAACUAUCUCGGAAACUACUUAACUGAAACUGUAGGAAAGAUCUACAAUUAUCUAGAUUCAUCACUAAUUAUGAGGUUAUCUAGAAGGAGCCAAAGGAUAUUAAUAGAGGAAAAGCAACAAGAAACGUGGUGAAAAGGACCUCUUUCUAGAAUCUUUGAAGCUGUGCAUUGAAUAAUACCCAAAAACUAUCUCGGAAACUACUUAACUGAAACUGUAGGAAAGAUGUAGAAUUAUCUAUGAGGUUAUCUAGAAGGAGCCAAAGGAUAUUAAUAAAGGAAAAGCAACAAGAAACGUGGUGAAAAGGACCUCUUUCUAGAAACUUUGAAGCUGUGCAUUGAAUAAUACCUAAAAACUAUCUCGGAAACUACUUAACGGAAACAGUACAAAGGAUGGACAAUUAUUUAGAUUCAUCACUAAUUGUGAGGUUAUCUAAGAGGAGCCAAAGCCAAAGGAUAUUAAUAGAGGAAACGUCAUGAAGAGGAGCUAGCUCUAGAAUCGUUGAAUCUGUACAUAUUGAAUUCUAAAUAAUACCCAAAAACUGUCUUGGAACCUUCUUAAUUUUCAUAGUAAAAAUUUGGUUUCUACUAGGGAAAUGGUAUGAAGCAAGAACAACUAUCCAGAUUCAUCACUAAUUGUGAGGUUAUUAGAAGGAGUCAAAGAUUAUUGAUAGACGAAAAGUAAUAAGAAACGUGCUUGAUCUAGAAUCGUUGAAGCUGUGCACUGAAUUCUAAAUAAUACCCAAAAACUAUCCUGGAAACUACUUAACGCCUAUCUGAAAGCGAAUCUGUGGAAGAUGUAACAUUUUCUUUGGAAGUGGUUGCUUAUUCUUAUGUCCAAAACAAGAGCUGUAGCUCUUAUGCUACAUCUAGGCAAAUGAAAUAAUUCUUAAAAAACAA
This is a non-coding RNA of Onthophagus taurus, 1155 nucleotides long. NCBI's taxonomy places the organism in Eukaryota, Metazoa, Arthropoda, Insecta, Coleoptera, Scarabaeidae. The record is from RefSeq and is a predicted model, not a curated record.